UCGAUCGUAUGGAAUUCUACGGGCAGAAGCUUUACCUUUGAGCAAUAUACUAUAUAGUCGCCAAUAGUAUUAGCACUGUUGUCUAGUAUACCUAUAUUGUAUCAUGAAGCAAGGGAGGAUGCUUCACAAGGAGACAACUCAGUGCGAUGAUGUUACACUGUGGCUUGCAGACAAUACAGAGUAUAAAACCUUUACAAGUAGACAACUAUAGCUAAAUUAUUUACAACACUAGUAUCCAGGUACUACUUCGGCGACUUCUGCAGCUGGAUUGGGCUUCAAGUUGUUUUCUUUGCCCUGGGCUUGUACGCAUACACUGGAGAGGUUGUUGACUUGGAAAGUCAUGAUGCCCGAGUCAUUUGAUGUGACAGAAGAGGCAGACACACUAUUCUCCUAUUAUGAU
Molecule: long non-coding RNA, 400 nt
Organism: Biomphalaria glabrata
Lineage: Eukaryota; Metazoa; Mollusca; Gastropoda; Planorbidae
Exons: 3
Source: RefSeq, a predicted model, not a curated record